GCGGAUGAUUAUACAUUUUUAACCCCGAGAUCUUCAAUGAAGAUUAAACCGCAACAACAACACUCUAAUUUUUUCAUGACG
Aureobasidium pullulans is the source of this 81-nucleotide small nucleolar RNA. It matches the Rfam family "A. fimigatus snoRNA Afu_298". Lineage: Eukaryota; Fungi; Ascomycota; Dothideomycetes; Dothideales; Saccotheciaceae. The record is from Rfam.